RNAcentral lists this ribosomal RNA (950 nucleotides) under Pseudoalteromonas ruthenica. RNAcentral describes it as "bacterial SSU rRNA". It matches the Rfam family "Bacterial small subunit ribosomal RNA", at positions 47 to 993 of the family's 1533-position model. Lineage: Bacteria; Pseudomonadati; Pseudomonadota; Gammaproteobacteria; Alteromonadales; Pseudoalteromonadaceae. The record is from RNAcentral.
CCCCCUUUAACCCUUGGCCAAGUCCGAGCGGAUACGAAGAGGUGCUUGCACCUCUGGCGUCGAGCGGCGGACGGGUGAGUAAUGCUUGGGAACAUGCCUUGAGGUGGGGGACAACCGUUGGAAACGACGGCUAAUACCGCAUAAUGUCUACGGACCAAAGGGGGCUUCGGCUCUCGCCUUUAGAUUGGCCCAAGUGGGAUUAGCUAGUUGGUGAGGUAAUGGCUCACCAAGGCGACGAUCCCUAGCUGGUUUGAGAGGAUGAUCAGCCACACUGGGACUGAGACACGGCCCAGACUCCUACGGGAGGCAGCAGUGGGGAAUAUUGCACAAUGGGCGCAAGCCUGAUGCAGCCAUGCCGCGUGUGUGAAGAAGGCCUUCGGGUUGUAAAGCACUUUCAGCAAGGAGGAAAGGGUGUAAGUUAAUACCUUACAUCUGUGACGUUACUUGCAGAAGAAGCACCGGCUAACUCCGUGCCAGCAGCCGCGGUAAUACGGAGGGUGCGAGCGUUAAUCGGAAUUACUGGGCGUAAAGCGUACGCAGGCGGUUUGUUAAGCGAGAUGUGAAAGCCCCGGGCUUAACCUGGGAACUGCAUUUCGAACUGGCAGGCUAGAGUGUGAUAGAGGGUGGUAGAAUUUCAGGUGUAGCGGUGAAAUGCGUAGAGAUCUGAAGGAAUACCGAUGGCGAAAGGCAGCCACCUGGGUCAACACUGACGCUCAUGUACGAAAGCGUGGGGAGCAAACAGGAUUAGAUACCCUGGUAGUCCACGCCGUAAACGAUGUCUACUAGGAGCUCGGCUUUUCGGAGCUGUUUUCCAAAGCAAACGCAUUAAGUAGACCGCCUGGGGGAGUACGGCCGCAGUAAACUCAAAUGAAUGACGGGGCCCGCCACAGCGGUGGAGCAUGUGUUUAUCGAUGCACCCGGAGACUACUACACUGACAUCAAAAAAACUU